GAAAAUGAAUGCAAGAGGAUUCUUCUUGAACCCAAAGAUGGGAAGUGACCUCCUGCUUGCAGCAGCAGGAGAAAAGAUGGGUGGAUACACUACCGCCAAUUAUGUUUGGGAUCUUUUGCAAAGCCACAAGAUCACUCCAUGGCUGCCUGCAGUGAAGGCCUUCUAUGAAGGCUUAAAGGAAAGGGAGAUACCAUCAGAUAACCCAAGGCUUGUAUUGGUUGGGCGCACAUAGGACAAUGUAAACCUCAGAUUUGGAGGGAGGCGAAAUGUCUAGAACAGAUUAAUCAAGUGCUUUCUUACUUUGAGAUGCUUCCAAGAGCAUCAGGUGUGGUCUCCAUGCCCACUUGAUCCAGAAGAAAGCACAGUAGAAAUCUUGAAGGCCAGCUACGUGUCCGUAAGUUCUGCUCGGUUGCGAUCGCAACUUGUGUCACAGAGUCAUUACUCGAGCAGAUGGUCGACUGAACUUCCACAACUUUUGGUUUUCUACACCAAUAAUAUUUAGCCACUGACAACUUCUGAAGUGAGAGGAACAGAAACCAAAGUUGGUGAAGAAUAACUUGGUCUCAACAAUCACUAGUCUGGAUUCUGAGUUUUUGAGUUCUUCGAGUGUUGCAACUGUGUGAUUGGAAAUGUCUACUACCGUUAUAGUAGUGGAUAGUAACAUGCUUUUGUGCAUUGGAUUCAUUGCAGAAACAUAAACUUGUAAUAGGUACA
Molecule: non-coding RNA, 714 nt
Organism: Musa acuminata subsp. malaccensis (wild Malaysian banana)
Lineage: Eukaryota; Viridiplantae; Streptophyta; Magnoliopsida; Zingiberales; Musaceae
Source: RefSeq, a predicted model, not a curated record